GGGCCUGUAGCUCAGCGGCAGAGCACGAGGCUCAUAACCUCAGGGUCGUAGGUUCGAAUCCUACCAGGCCCACCA
Molecule: transfer RNA, 75 nt
Filed under: Thermomicrobium roseum
Lineage: Bacteria; Pseudomonadati; Thermomicrobiota; Thermomicrobia; Thermomicrobiales; Thermomicrobiaceae
Also listed under: 2 other names
Description: tRNA-Met
Rfam family: tRNA
About the family: Transfer RNA (tRNA) molecules are approximately 80 nucleotides in length. Their secondary structure includes four short double-helical elements and three loops (D, anti-codon, and T loops). Further hydrogen bonds mediate the characteristic L-shaped molecular structure. tRNAs have two regions of fundamental functional importance: the anti-codon, which is responsible for specific mRNA codon recognition, and the 3' end, to which the tRNAs corresponding amino acid is attached (by aminoacyl-tRNA synthetases). tRNAs cope with the degeneracy of the genetic code in two manners: having more than one tRNA (with a specific anti-codon) for a particular amino acid; and 'wobble' base-pairing, i.e. permitting non-standard base-pairing at the 3rd anti-codon position.
Source: RNAcentral